RNAcentral lists this ribosomal RNA (761 nucleotides) under uncultured bacterium. RNAcentral's name for it is "bacterial SSU rRNA". It matches the Rfam family "Bacterial small subunit ribosomal RNA", at positions 28 to 776 of the family's 1533-position model. The record is from RNAcentral.
GAUGAACGCUAGCUACCGGCUUAACACAUGCAAGUCGAGGGGCAGCAUGAAAGGAACUUCGGUUCUUUUUGAUGGCGACCGGCGCACGGGUGCGUAACGCGUAUCGAACCUGCCUCAUACUCGAGGAUAGCCUUGCGAAAGUAAGAUUAAUACCCGGCGGUCUCGGAUGGCCGCAUGACUAUCCGAGUGAAGAUUUAUCGGUAUGAGAUGGCGAUGCGUCCCAUUAGCUAGUUGGUGAGGUAAUGGCUCACCAAGGCAUCGAUGGGUAGGGGUUCUGAGAGGAAGGUCCCCCACAUUGGAACUGAGACACGGUCCAAACUCCUACGGGAGGCAGCAGUGAGGAAUAUUGGUCAAUGGACGAAAGUCUGAACCAGCCAAGUAGCGUGCAGGAUGACGGCCCUCUGGGUUGUAAACUGCUUUUAGUUGGGAAUAAAAAGAGGGACGUGUCCCUUAUUGUAUGUACCAUCAGAAAAAGGACCGGCUAAUUCCGUGCCAGCAGCCGCGGUAAUACGGAAGGUCCAGGCGUUAUCCGGAUUUAUUGGGUUUAAAGGGAGCGCAGGCGGCGGCGUAAGUCAGUUGUGAAAUCGUGCGGCUUAACCGUGCAAUUGCAGUUGAUACUGCGUCGCUUGAGUGCACACAGGGAUGUUGGAAUUCAUGGUGUAGCGGUGAAAUGCUUAGAUAUCAUGAAGAACUCCGAUCGCGAAGGCAUAUGUCCGGAGUGCAACUGACGCUGAGGCUCGAAAGUGUGGGUAUCANACAGG